AAGACUAUACUUUCAGGGAUUGUAGUUCUAGAGUUCGUUUCUAGUGAAAUUACUCUAAUUGUGUAGUGCACCCGAAACCACGAGGAGGAGUGGGGCAUAGAGCAUGCCCUCCUGAGCCGGAAGCAGGUUCUGGGUGUUGCUUCUGCAACUGCCUCUACCAUCAACAAUCGUUCUUCUCUUCCCUUGGAAGAGGGAGAGGAGAGAAUGCACGCUAAGUGG
This 219-nucleotide small nucleolar RNA is filed under the name Sorex araneus (European shrew). Its description in RNAcentral is "Small nucleolar RNA U3 (ENSSARG00000019996.1)". It matches the Rfam family "Small nucleolar RNA U3". Rfam says of the family: Small nucleolar RNAs (snoRNAs) are involved in the processing and modification of rRNA in the nucleolus. There are two main classes of snoRNAs: the box C/D class, and the box H/ACA class. The record is from RNAcentral. Lineage: Eukaryota; Metazoa; Chordata; Mammalia; Eulipotyphla; Soricidae.